UACAUGAAGCUGGAAUCGCUAGUAAUCGCGGAUCAGAAUGCCGCGGUGAAUACGUUCCCGGGUCUUGUACACACCGCCCGUCACACCAUGGGAGUCGGAAAUGCCCGAAGUCUGUGACCCAACCGAAAGGAGGGAGCAGCCGAAGGCAGGUCGGAUGACUGGGGUGAAGUCGUAACAAGGUAGC
RNAcentral lists this ribosomal RNA (184 nucleotides) under uncultured bacterium. RNAcentral describes it as "partial 16S ribosomal RNA". It matches the Rfam family "Bacterial small subunit ribosomal RNA", at positions 1317 to 1500 of the family's 1533-position model. The record is from RNAcentral.